RNAcentral lists this ribosomal RNA (253 nucleotides) under uncultured bacterium. RNAcentral describes it as "partial 16S ribosomal RNA". It matches the Rfam family "Bacterial small subunit ribosomal RNA", at positions 524 to 776 of the family's 1533-position model. The record is from RNAcentral.
UACGAGAGGCCCAAACGUUAUUCGGAAUUACUGGGCGUAAAGCGUGCGCAGGCGGCUUUGCAAGACAGAUGUGAAAUCCCCGGGCUUAACCUGGGAACUGCAUUUGUGACUGCAUGGCUGGAGUGCGGCAGAGGGGGAUGGAAUUCCGCGUGUAGCAGUGAAAUGCGUAGAUAUGCGGAGGAACACCGAUGGCGAAGGCAAUCCCCUGGGCCUGCACUGACGCUCAUGCACGAAAGCGUGGGGAGCAAACAGG